UCCAACAGACAGCAUAUCGUUUACAACCCUCACCAGGCAUGCUCAACUCUUUAAAACUACAAAGUCCACUGCACUUACAACAAGGCUGGAAUUAAGUUUUUAAGUAAAUACAGCUCUCUGUACUACAUCUUCACAUUUAUUGGACGCAGAUCCUUACAAAACAAUCAUUUCAUAACUAAUAAUCCAACGGACUAUUCAGACACCAAUUCAACUCUAAAAAGACACACAAGUCUAAUGUCCAGGGGAAAAAUGGAUGUUGAAGAUUCCAACAGCCUGCAACAAGGGUACUCAAACAACCAGGUCCCAGUAUUUUAGAUUAAUUUAUUUCUCUGUUUAGAAUCAUUUGCAGGUAUACUGAGUUAUUGAAAAUGUACUAUCCUACAUCUGAAAGUGUUCUGCUAAUAAAGAAAAUUCAAAGCACAAUACC
This is a long non-coding RNA of Lepisosteus oculatus (spotted gar), 427 nucleotides long. RefSeq lists it as uncharacterized. NCBI's taxonomy places the organism in Eukaryota, Metazoa, Chordata, Actinopteri, Semionotiformes, Lepisosteidae. The record is from RefSeq and is a predicted model, not a curated record.